CCUUAAAGCUACUCUCAGUUCGGAUUGUAGGCUGAAACUCGCCUACAUGAAGCUGGAGUUACUAGUAAUCGCAGAUCAGAAUGCUGCGGUGAAUGCGUUCCCGGGUCUUGUACACACCGCCCGUCACCCCACGGGAGUUGGAGACGCCCGAAGCCGAUUAUCUAACCUUUUGGAAGAAGUCGUCGAAGGUGGAAUCAAUAACUGGGGUGAAGUCGUAACAAGGUAGCCGUAUCGGAAGGGGCGGCUGGAUCACCUCCUUUCUAAGGAGA
This 269-nucleotide ribosomal RNA is filed under the name Clostridioides difficile. Its description in RNAcentral is "partial 16S ribosomal RNA". It matches the Rfam family "Bacterial small subunit ribosomal RNA", at positions 1274 to 1533 of the family's 1533-position model. The record is from RNAcentral. Lineage: Bacteria; Bacillati; Bacillota; Clostridia; Peptostreptococcales; Peptostreptococcaceae.